RNAcentral lists this ribosomal RNA (434 nucleotides) under uncultured Oscillospiraceae bacterium. RNAcentral's name for it is "partial 16S ribosomal RNA". It matches the Rfam family "Bacterial small subunit ribosomal RNA", at positions 341 to 792 of the family's 1533-position model. Lineage: Bacteria; Bacillati; Bacillota; Clostridia; Eubacteriales; Oscillospiraceae. The record is from RNAcentral.
ACGGAAGGCAGCAGUGGGGGAUAUUGCACAAUGGGCGCAAGCCUGAUGCAGCAACGCCGCGUGAGGGAAGACGGUUUUCGGAUUGUAAACCUCUGUUUUUGGUGAAGAUAAUGACGGUAGCCAAGGAGGAAGCCACGGCUAACUACGUGCCAGCAGCCGCGGUAAUACGUAGGUGGCAAGCGUUGUCCGGAAUUACUGGGUGUAAAGGGAGCGCAGGCGGGACGGCAAGUUGGAUGUGAAAUACCGCGGCUUAACUGCGGAGCUGCAUCCAAAACUGUCGUUCUUGAGUGGAGUAGAGGCAGGCGGAAUUCCGAGUGUAGCGGUGAAAUGCGUAGAUAUUCGGAGGAACACCAGUGGCGAAGGCGGCCUGCUGGGCUCUAACUGACGCUGAGGCUCGAAAGUGUGGGGAGCAAACAGGAUUAGAUACCCUGGUA